Small nucleolar RNA from Pteropus vampyrus (large flying fox), 78 nucleotides. Its record names the gene SNORD81. It matches the Rfam family "Small nucleolar RNA SNORD81". From Rfam's summary of the family: U81 is a member of the C/D class of snoRNA which contain the C (UGAUGA) and D (CUGA) box motifs. Lineage: Eukaryota; Metazoa; Chordata; Mammalia; Chiroptera; Pteropodidae. The record is from Ensembl.
CAGAAUAAAUGAUGAUCUCACCCCAACUUGAACUCUCUCACUGAUUAUAUUGAUGAUAAUUAAAGAUCUGAUAUUCUG